UGUAGUGGAAGCAAAAAAUUUUGAACUUCAUAGAUGAUGAUUACCUUGAGAGUGAAGUAAACAUAUGUAUGGGUAUUUUGAGAGAAGAAUUCACUAGAAAGACAACACCUAUGUUUCUAUCUACAUAAAAAAAAUUAACACUAUUUCCAAUUUAAAACUUUAAAAUAAUAAAUUCAUGAGUUUUUUUAUUUUAUAUAAUAUUU
This 203-nucleotide long non-coding RNA is filed under the name Vigna radiata. RNAcentral's name for it is "long non-coding RNA (VRAD_LNC002283)". The record is from RNAcentral. Lineage: Eukaryota; Viridiplantae; Streptophyta; Magnoliopsida; Fabales; Fabaceae.